RNAcentral lists this ribosomal RNA (349 nucleotides) under uncultured fungus. RNAcentral describes it as "SSU rRNA". It matches the Rfam family "Eukaryotic small subunit ribosomal RNA", at positions 1326 to 1698 of the family's 1831-position model. The record is from RNAcentral. Lineage: Eukaryota; Fungi.
CGAUAACGAACGAGACCUUAACCUACUAAAUAGCCCGUAUUGCUUUGGCAGUACGCUGGCUUCUUAGAGGGACUAUCCGCUCAAGCGGAUGGAAGUUUUAGGCAAUAACAGGUCUGUGAUGCCCUUAGAUGUUCUGGGCCGCACGCGCGUUACACUGACGGAGCCAGCGAGUUCCUCCUUGGCAGAGAUGCCUGGGUAAUCUUGUUAAACUCCGUCGUGCUGGUGAUAGAGCAUUGCAAUUAUUGCUCUUCAACGAGGAAUCCCUAGUAAGCGCAAGUCAUCAGCUUGCGUUGAUUACGUCCCUGCCCUUUGUACACACCGCCCGUCGCUACUACCGGAUUGAAUGGCU